This is a transfer RNA of 73 nucleotides. It matches the Rfam family "tRNA". Rfam says of the family: Transfer RNA (tRNA) molecules are approximately 80 nucleotides in length. The record is from Rfam.
ACGGGAAUAGCUCAGUUGGUAGAGUACUGGUCUCCAAAACCAGGCGUCGGGAGUUCGAGCCUCUCUUCCCGUG